RNAcentral lists this ribosomal RNA (237 nucleotides) under Escherichia coli. RNAcentral's name for it is "partial 23S ribosomal RNA". It matches the Rfam family "Bacterial large subunit ribosomal RNA", at positions 2004 to 2251 of the family's 2925-position model. Lineage: Bacteria; Pseudomonadati; Pseudomonadota; Gammaproteobacteria; Enterobacterales; Enterobacteriaceae. The record is from RNAcentral.
AUGAUCCGGACGCUGUCUCAACCAUGAGCUCAGUGAAAUUGUAGUAUCGGUGAAGAUGCCGAUUACCCGCGAUGGGACGAAAAGACCCCGUGAACCUUUACUACAGCUUAGCAUUGACCUUGGUCAUCCGAUGUGUAGGAUAGGCCGGAGGCUUCGAAGCGGGAGCGCCAGCUUUCGUGGAGCCAUCCUUGAAAUACGGCCCUUUGGCUGUCUGAGGUCUAACGCGUGAUACGCGGA